This is a long non-coding RNA of Anguilla rostrata (American eel), 946 nucleotides long. RefSeq lists it as uncharacterized. The transcript has 3 exons. The record is from RefSeq and is a predicted model, not a curated record. Lineage: Eukaryota; Metazoa; Chordata; Actinopteri; Anguilliformes; Anguillidae.
CCUUUAUCAAUUUUAACACAAGAAAUUAACCUCUUGUUGAAUAUUUUCAUGAAAGUUGUUAAGCUGCAAACUACGCCGUUUAUUUGAGCUAGCUAAUUAAUUAGUGCACUAUCAAGGGAAGGUGUGUAAAUGACGCAAGGAGGUCAAGGAGAACGGGGUGACCCUGAAGCCUAAGAUGCUGUAGAACUUAUUCUGGAACUACACCCUGAGAGACAGAGACACAUAAAAAUAAUCAAAACAAAAAAUGGACUUCUGAUUCCCAUGAUGGACGAGUUUGAUGACACAGAUCCCACGAACAUUAACUCUUUCUCCCCAGGGAAACGGAUGAGAUUACACGCCUUUAAAUAACUGCAACUUCUGUGGGGUGGGGGUGCUUCAGAUGAUGUUUUGAUAGCUGUAAAGUGCUUUCUAACUGCCGUUAUGCAAUGACUGGAAGUCAAAACAUUUCAUAAUCGUUAGAAAUCACGUGGAUAUGCAUUUUUUCCCCUGGAGGUGGCGCUACGUUGAGUGGUGGUAGACUGUGCCACUCUGCACCCAACUGGCAAAGAAGAGAAUGAUCUCCUGCAGUACAGUACGCCACUGCAGUAUUGAGGAAAGCUGCAUGGAGUUAGCCUGCUGGCCUCACGUUAAACACUAAAGGGCACACAAGGACUGGCACGCAGAACAAACUCACACCAACAAGCACAAGAGAACACCAGGAGCACGGGGCUGGUUUUAAUUCACAUUUUUAUUGGAGAUCCAAAGUCAAUUAAAUCCCAUCUACAUAAGGGAUAUAAAUCUCACACAGAACUAAUUAUGCAAAACUGAAAAUUUAAAUUUUCAUAGAGGGGGACAGAACAAGAAGGGGAGGUCAAAAGGGAAUGUAAAAAAAGAAACAAUGGCACAAUGAACAAAAAAAUCAAACCAAGACUACUAGAGAAGAGGAAAAAGGGAAGGAGGAAAGAAA